Molecule: unclassified non-coding RNA, 319 nt
Filed under: uncultured soil eukaryote
Lineage: Eukaryota
Description: sequence contains 5.8S rRNA gene, ITS2, 28S rRNA gene
Source: RNAcentral
AACGCAAAUUGCGCUUGAUCCUUCGGGAGAAAGCACGUCUGCCUGAGCGACGGCCUUCCCUCUCGACCCCCUUCCCUCCGGGGAAGCCGGCGUCGGACCUGGCCCUCCCAGCGCCGCCUCCUCGCGGAGCCCGCGCGCUGGGUCGGCUGAAGCGCAGAGGCCUGAGCAGGGAGCCCACACCAAAGGGGCACGGCAAGGUAGGUUGCCUCACGGCAGCUCCUUACCCGCCGCUGUCCCGGGAUCCCUUUUGCUUGGGGCCCAGCAGGAAAGCACUUACCCUUUCGUCCUCAGUUCAGGCGAGAUUACCCGCUGAACUUAA